CCUACGGGAGGCAGCAGUGAGGAAUAUUGGUCAAUGGACGAGAGUCUGAACCAGCCAAGUAGCGUGAAGGAUGACUGCCCUAUGGGUUGUAAACUUCUUUUAUAUGGGAAUAAAAUGUUCCACGUGUGGGGUUUUGUAUGUACCAUAUGAAUAAGGAUCGGCUAACUCCGUGCCAUCAGCAGCGGUAAUACGGUGGAUACGAGCGUUAUGCGGAUUUAUUGGGUUUAAAGGGAGCGUAGGUGGUAUGUUAAGUCAGGUGUGAAAGUUUGCGGCUCAACCGUAAAAUUGCAGUUGAAACUGGCAGUCUUGAGUACAGUAGAGGAGGGCGGAAUGCGUGGUGUAGCGGUGAAAUGCUUAGAUAUCACGAAGAACUCCGAUUGCGAAGGCAGUUCACUGGACUGCAACUGACACUGAGGCUCGAAAGUGUGGGUAUCAAACAGGAUUAGAUACCCUAGUAGUC
RNAcentral lists this ribosomal RNA (460 nucleotides) under uncultured bacterium. RNAcentral's name for it is "partial 16S ribosomal RNA". It matches the Rfam family "Bacterial small subunit ribosomal RNA", at positions 338 to 795 of the family's 1533-position model. The record is from RNAcentral.